Long non-coding RNA from Oryzias melastigma (Indian medaka), 2050 nucleotides. RefSeq lists it as uncharacterized. The record is from RefSeq and is a predicted model, not a curated record. The transcript has 2 exons. NCBI's taxonomy places the organism in Eukaryota, Metazoa, Chordata, Actinopteri, Beloniformes, Adrianichthyidae.
UCAGCAUCUUCAGAGACCAAAUUCAGCUUACAGCAUUCACACUAGCAUUAUCACAGCUCUAGUGGACGGCUGACCAGAGGAAGCCGUCUGUGAGGAGAUGCUCGUGAGGAACAAAGAGAAACAGACCAGAGAAGAUGAUUUGAAAGAAACCCAGCGGCGUUCCUGUGGCGUUCAAACACACACACAGAAGCAGACCUCACCUCUGCGGCUCUGCACUGAAGACGCAGGGGAACGUUACAGCGAGGAAGGCAGAAGGGAACAGAGAGAAAGAGGAGGGUGAGUGCUGGUCGUGCUGAAGGUUAAAGAUCAUUCUGAAACAAGUGAGCGGAAGAGAAGAAAACCCAACAGGACAGAGUGCAGGACACGUCUGUAAAAGAGUGUCCUGCAGCCAACAGGCGGGGUUUGACUCUGGCAGCUUCGCUGUGCUUCGAGUCUGCUGCGUGCAGUAAAAGGAGGUGCAGAGUACGCACUGAUCUGGUUGAGGGUUUCUGCAGGGAUCCAGCUCAUGUCCACGUCGUUGUGGCUGGAGGUUCCUGUUUCCACCUUCUGAGCCGGACGCCUCCUCUGCAAACAUACACGGUGAGUCAGGGUCACCUCAGCUACACCACCGUCUGAACAUGUGAGAAAUUAAUACAAAAACAAGUCCAAACCUUUCUGGACUCCAGCAGCUGGUGAAGUCCCACGAUGACGAGCAGGCCCAGCCCGGAGAGGAAGACGUACAUGAAAAUCCUGAAGGCAGAGGACAAGUGAGAGGCAGCAGAGGUGACGCCUGGAGGCAGAUGAAGAUGUCUUACGUUUCUCCGUCCAGCCCGUCCUCCUUCUCAGUGAUGGUGACAGUCUGGUUGAACACGGCAUCUUGGAAAAUGUUUCCCUGAGGACGAGGAAGAGCAAACAGGAGUUAGUGAUGAAGGUCAGGAAGGACGCACAGAUGGGUCAGGUUAGGUCAGUCCUGCUUACGCUGCUGUCCUUGUAGUUGAGGUUGAUGACGAGUCCAAACGGACGGCCUCCCAUGGGCUCGGCGGGGAUGAAGGAGUACUCGAAGGUGGCCUGUCUGCCAGGAGGAACCACGAUGCCGAGCUGCAGAGCCGUGAAGUUCUGGAUGUAGAACUGGUAAUCCUGAGAGGAGCCGACAGUUAGAGCAGGAACCACGAGCACCCUCGUCCCCGUCUCCUCUCCUCACCUGAGGGUAACGGAAGGAAGCGUCCAGAGAAUCCACCACGAAGUUCUCAGGACCUUUGUUGGUGAAGCCCAGCAGGAACUUGACGAUGUUGUUGGCGGGGAAGUCUGAGCAGAAACAAGAGCGUGGGUGAGGGUUUCAGCCAGAGCUGCACCGGAGCUCAGACAGCUGAGAUGAAGCAGUCACCUUCUCCUUUGACGAAGAGGAUGGUGGUGUCAGCGUUGGGAGAAGCCUUCACCUCUCCAACCAAAGCUUCUUCCUCCUCUUCUUUUUCCUCCGUCUGAACACAAACAAAAAACUCUAUCAAAUACAAAUAUUUUAACUUAACUUCAUAACUGUAAUAAACCAGAAGAAAGUCUGAAAAACGUUCAAUAACUCUCCUCUUCAUCGCAGCACAACUCACCAGCUCUACAUUUUCAUCAUCCUCCACCUCAGCCUCAUUGUCCUCAUCUUCAGCAGUCACAUCGUCCACCACAUCUUCAUCCACGGCGUCAGCCUCCUCAUCCUCAGUCAAGUCUUGAGCUUGUACCAGCGGUCCUGACGGGCAGAAGACGUUUUAGAGAUGAGCAUCCCCGACAGACACCUACUGAGCAUGCUCAGUAAAAUGACCUUUGUGUGGGACAAAAACUCUAAAGCUAUGUCCGAAUUCCUCUGCUACGCACUAUAUACCACAUUCGCCAUUUUCUAGUCCUAUUCCAAAAUCAAGUGCACUGGAAAUUUCCCAGAAGUCUAUACAAAAAUCAAGCGUGCAUCUAGCUCACUGCGUUAGCGAAUAUAGACCAUAAUGCAUUGCAGUCGUACAAUUUCAAACAAAAAAACGUGUUUAAAUCUCAUUUUUUAAUAAACUAUCCACAUUUUCCCCCUCAGAACACA